GGGAGGCUCCACCAGGACAUCUUCGUCCAGCUCGAGGAGGUGGGUAAUGGGGAGGGAUCCGCCAGGAUGCCGUACAUUCCGCCACGCCACCGGCGAGCUCUUGGAGCCGCCGCCGAGAGAAGAAACAUCGGUGGCCGCGCAGCAGGCGUCGGGAGCAUCGCCUAGUGGUGGAAAGAUCAGGUAGAGGGCUGCCGUCAGUCCGUGCUGUGGCGCCAUGGAGCAAGUUGCUGGCCGCUCAUUUCUCUCUGUGCUCACUGUGCCCUAAUUAGCCGGUAUCCAUGAAAGAGAGAUGCAAUCCUUGUUCUUCCCAAUCACCACUUAAAAGCUUUGUUGUGGCAAGUACGCCCUCUGUAACAAUCCAAUUUUGUUUACUUCAGUCGCUUUUGGUUUUCACUCCCUUCAAUAUAAAGGUACUCAUCCGCCAGGAAAUUAAAUAUUGAGGAAGAUGUUUAGGAUACAGAAAAUAGCGUGGAUUUUCAAGGUAAAACACAUCUCAAGCUGAUGUUUUAUUCGUCUUUGCACUAAUUUAACAAUGAUUCGUCGUUGCCGCUGUUGAAUUAGAGCCGCUCCAGAGUUGAGGCUGCGCGGGCUUGUGGCGACUCGAUCUGCGUCGAACACCUAUUUCUGUGUUGGAAUAGUAAAGCGGAGAUGAUGCUAGGCAAGUUCAUUCUUACCAUGGUUCUUGACUAUUUUUUCUUCUUCUUACCUGUGUUUAUCCUUCUUUGUGUUGAAGGUCCAUGUUAGUAGAGACUAUAUGUGUUGAUAACCUGUAAGAAUUCAGAGAAUUUAGAGGACAGGUUCCUUUCAUCUAUGGUUUUCUUGGACUUUAUUUUUAUUCUGCAGUGGAGAUGGUUACUGGAAGAGAUCAAAGCAAUUGGAUGUGGUAUUGGAGAGACCAGACCUCUGGGAGGAUUCAGUUUUCGCCAGGAAGGUUAGUCGUGAGUAAGGUGAGAUCAUGGGUAAGAUUAAGUCAGUGAACCAAUUCGAGCAGGAAUUGAAGGAGCACAUUGACACGUUGAGGCAUGCACAUGGAGAGGGUGAUAAUGAACUCGAGAUGGAAUACAUGAAAGCAUUAGCCGAUAUGAGAAGAGAUAUAAAGGAGAAGGAACUGAAUGCAUUGUUUUCAGGAGAUCGUGACCCUUACCCUUGCUUCACUGAGGUAUAUUUGUGGCAUUAUCUUAAGAAAUUUAAGUGAAGAGCUCACUAUAUAACUAUUGUGCAAUAGCCGGAGAAAGGUAAUGAAGAACUUGGAAGCCUGUAUGAUUGGAAGUUUGUUUUCCUCCUCUAUUAUUAAGGUACUUUUCUGUUGUUAAAUUUUUUGAAUGUCCCAGAUUUUCUGAUAAGAAGUUGGACCAUGAUCUAUUGAUUUUCUCCAUCCUAGAUAGGAUAAUCCUGCAACCUUUGCAUUA
Molecule: RNA transcript, 1409 nt
Organism: Lolium rigidum
Lineage: Eukaryota; Viridiplantae; Streptophyta; Magnoliopsida; Poales; Poaceae
Gene name: peptide chain release factor PrfB2, chloroplastic-like
Exons: 2
Source: RefSeq, a predicted model, not a curated record